AACGAACGCUGGCGGCGUGCCUAACACAUGCAAGUCGAACGAGAAAGGGGCUUCGGCUCCGAGUAAAGUGGCGCACGGGUGAGUAACACGUGGGUAACCUGCCUCUAAGAUUGGGAUAACUCGUCGAAAGAUGAGCUAAUACCGAAUAAGACCACAGUUCCCGCGGGAACAGAGGUCAAAGGUAGCCUCUGCUUGCAAGCUAUCACUUAGAGAUGGGCCUGCGCACCAUUAGCUAGUUGGUAGGGUAACGGCCUACCAAGGCAAAGAUGGUUAGCUGGUCUGAGAGGAUGAUCAGCCACACUGGAACUGAGACACGGUCCAGACUCCUACGGGAGGCAGCAGUGGGGAAUAUUGCGCAAUGGGCGAAAGCCUGACGCAGCAACGCCGCGUGAGUGAUGAAGGCCUUCGGGUCGUAAAGCUCUGUCGGGAGGAACGAAUGCUCCUGAGGUUAACAGCCUCAGGAGGUGACGGUACCUUCAAAGGAAGCACCGGCUAACUCUGUGCCAGCAGCCGCGGUAAUACAGAGGGUGCAAGCGUUGUUCGGAAUCAUUGGGCG
This 556-nucleotide ribosomal RNA is filed under the name uncultured soil bacterium. RNAcentral's name for it is "bacterial SSU rRNA". It matches the Rfam family "Bacterial small subunit ribosomal RNA", at positions 28 to 560 of the family's 1533-position model. The record is from RNAcentral.